Molecule: ribosomal RNA, 301 nt
Filed under: uncultured bacterium
Lineage: Bacteria
Description: partial 16S ribosomal RNA
Rfam family: Bacterial small subunit ribosomal RNA
Source: RNAcentral
CAGUCGCCGCGGUAACACAGAGGGUGCAAGCGUUACUCGGAAUUACUGGGCGUAAAGCGUGCGUAGGUGGUGGUUUAAGUCCGUUGUGAAAGCCCUGGGCUCAACCUGGGAAUUGCAGUGGAUACUGGGUCACUAGAGUGUGGUAGAGGAUAGUGGAAUUUCCGGUGUAGCAGUGAAAUGCGUAGAGAUCGGAAGGAACAUCUGUGGCGAAGGCGACUAUCUGGGCCAACACUGACACUGAGGCACGAAAGCGUGGGGAGCAAACAGGAUCAGAGACCCGCGUAGUCCCUGUCUCUUAUAC